AAAGAGCAUACAUGGUCUGGUCUUAGUAAGAGAGGAUGUGCUUAUCCUGCAGAGACUUGAUGCACCAUGGUGGGGGAUACCAAGGCGGAUAUGGGGCUGCCCUCUCAGAGGCAAAAGGGAGGGGAGGAACUGCACAAGGAGGGACCAAGGGUAGCAACAUUUGGGAUAUAAAUAAGUAAAUAAUUAAAAAUAAAUAAAAUGCACACGUUAAAUAUACAUAUAUAUUACACAAUGUAUAUAAUAUGUAUAUAUAAUUUAUAUCAUCUUACUAGUUACAGAAACAUAAUAUGUAGCUUUUUAUAAAAUUCACUAAAAUUUAAUUUUAUUUUAAUACAUUAAAAAUAAGUUUAACAAAUUAAAAAUGAAUUAAAAUAGAAAAUGGACACCCACACUCAUUAAAGAAACUUUAGUAAAGCUGAUAGCAUACAUUGUACCACACACAGUAAUAGUGGGAGACUUCAACACCCCACUUUGGGCAAUAAGCAAAUCAUGGAAACAGAAACUAAACAGAGACACCGAGAAACUAACAGAAGUUAUGAACCAAAUGGAUUUAACAGAAAACUAUAGAACAUUUCAUCCUAAAAGAAAAGAAUAUACCUUCUUCUCAGCACCUCAUGAUACCUUCUCCAAAACUGACCAUAUAAUAGGUCACAAAACAGGCCUCAACAGAUUCAAGAUCAAAAUAAUCCCAUGCAUCCUAUCAGAUCACCAUGAACUGAG
RNAcentral lists this long non-coding RNA (720 nucleotides) under Rattus norvegicus (Norway rat). RNAcentral's name for it is "long non-coding RNA NONRATT000082". Lineage: Eukaryota; Metazoa; Chordata; Mammalia; Rodentia; Muridae. The record is from RNAcentral.